Paramuricea clavata is the source of this 288-nucleotide non-coding RNA. The record is from the annotation of a GenBank genome assembly. NCBI's taxonomy places the organism in Eukaryota, Metazoa, Cnidaria, Anthozoa, Malacalcyonacea, Plexauridae.
CAGUAACAGAAGGGCCACUCAGCGGUGCAACAUGUCCUCGUUUUUUUAUGCAAAAAUAUGCAGUUUACUGGCCAGAAGGCGGAGCAGCCAGCCAGUACAGCGUGUUUAUUGGCCAGAAAAUGUCAUUGACUGGCUAGGAAAAUGGCGGCCAACAUGCGUAAUGCGCGAGGACAGAAACUUCAAAGCUUCCGACAUAAGUGGCCCUUCUGUAUGGAUCUUUAUUCUGUGGUCUGGACGUUUUCCAUGCGAAUUUGUUCGCGCAAAUUUGUAUUAUGAGCUCUCGACUGG